GACGAACGCUGGCGGCGUGCUUAACACAUGCAAGUCGAACGGAAAGGCCUCUUUCGGGGGGUACUCGAGUGGCGAACGGGUGAGUAACACGUGAGUAACCUGCCCUUGACUCUGGGAUAACUUCAGGAAACUGGGGCUAAUACCGGAUAGGAGCUCCUGCUGCAUGGUGGGGGUUGGAAAGUUUCGGCGGUUGGGGAUGGACUCGCGGCUUAUCAGCUUGUUGGUGGGGUAGUGGCUUACCAAGGCUUUGACGGGUAGCCGGCCUGAGAGGGUGACCGGCCACAUUGGGACUGGGAUACGGCCCAGACUCCUACGGGAGGCAGCAGUGGGGAAUAUUGCACAAUGGGUGGAAGCCUGAUGCAGCAACGCCGUGUGCGGGAUGACGGCCUUCGGGUUGUAAACCGCUUUCGCUCAUGACGAAGCUUUGUGUGACGGUAGUGGGUAAAGAAGCACCGGCUAACUACGUG
RNAcentral lists this ribosomal RNA (467 nucleotides) under uncultured bacterium. RNAcentral describes it as "partial 16S ribosomal RNA". It matches the Rfam family "Bacterial small subunit ribosomal RNA", at positions 28 to 507 of the family's 1533-position model. The record is from RNAcentral.